Molecule: ribosomal RNA, 466 nt
Filed under: uncultured bacterium
Lineage: Bacteria
Description: bacterial SSU rRNA
Rfam family: Bacterial small subunit ribosomal RNA
Source: RNAcentral
GUCCAGACUCCUACGGGAGGCAGCAGUGAGGAAUAUUGGUCAAUGGUCGGGAGACUGAACCAGCCAAGUCGCGUGAGGGAAGACUGCCCUAUGGGUUGUAAACCUCUUUUGUCAGGGAGCAACGCCGGCUACGUGUAGCCGGACUGAGAGUACCUGAAGAAAAAGCAUCGGCUAACUCCGUGCCAGCAGCCGCGGUAAUACGGAGGAUGCGAGCGUUAUCCGGAUUUAUUGGGUUUAAAGGGUGCGUAGGCGGAAUGCCAAGUCAGCGGUAAAAUCGCGGGGCUCAACCUCGCUCCGCCGUUGAAACUGGCGUUCUUGAGUGGGCGAGAAGUAUGCGGAAUGCGCAGUGUAGCGGUGAAAUGCUUAGAUAUUGCGCAGAACUCCGAUUGCGAAGGCAGCAUACCGGCGGCGAUCUGACGCUGAGGCACGAAAGCGUGGGUAUCGAACAGGAUUAGAUACCCCCGUA